Molecule: unclassified non-coding RNA, 402 nt
Filed under: Hevea brasiliensis (rubber tree)
Lineage: Eukaryota; Viridiplantae; Streptophyta; Magnoliopsida; Malpighiales; Euphorbiaceae
Source: RNAcentral
AAUCUUCCAGCCAAAUUUCAUUUUAGGCCAAACUUGUUUAUAAUCUGAAUGACCUUUGUUUCCAUGAUGAGGCUGGACAGCAUUUUGAGUCGCAUUGUGAGUUGGAGUCUUAUUGUGAGUUGAAUCUUCUUGGUUCAAUCCUGAUUCUGCUGCAACCACCAGUGAAGCUAUAACAACUAAACCAACCAAAAUGUUCCCUCUCAAUCUCAAACCACAAUGCUUUGAUUUUGAUCCACUCCUACCCAUCAUAUCCUUGUUUUUUUCCGGCACAAAAUUGUAAAAUUUUCUCAAACUUUAACUUAAACUCAAUGGUAAAAAACCAAGAGGAAAAACACUAAAAACUCUUUAACUUGAAAGAAAGAAAAAUUACUCUUAAAAGCUGCAGCUCAGAAUCAGUCUGAG